UUUAGACAAUGGGRGCAACCCUGGAUCCAGCCAUGCCGUGUGAGUGAAGAAGGCCUUAGGGUAAUAAAACUCUUUCGCCWGGGAUGAUAAUGACAGUAGCAGGUAAAGAAACCCCGGCUAACUCCGUGCCAGCAGCCGCGGUAAUACGGAGGGGGUUAGCGUUSUUCGGAAUUACUGGGCGUAAAGCGCACGUAGGCGGAUUAAAAAGUUAGAGGUGAAAUCCCGGGGCUCAACCCCGGAACUGCCUUUAAAACUAHUAGUCUAGAGUUCGAGAGAGGUGAGUGGAAUUCCGAGUGUAGAGGUGAAAUUCGUAGAUAUUGGGAGGAACACCAGUGGCGAAGGCGGCUCACUGGCUCGAUACUGACGCUGAGGUGCGAAAGUGUGGGGAGCAAACAGGAUUAGAUACCCUGGUAGUCCACACCGUAAACGAUGAAUGCCAGUCGUCGGGUAGUAUACUAUUCGGUGACACACCUA
This 474-nucleotide ribosomal RNA is filed under the name uncultured Paracoccaceae bacterium. RNAcentral's name for it is "bacterial SSU rRNA". Lineage: Bacteria; Pseudomonadati; Pseudomonadota; Alphaproteobacteria; Rhodobacterales; Paracoccaceae. The record is from RNAcentral.